GUAAUCUAUCACUUUCUGUGAGCUGGUACCUCCGAUGCUCCUUUUGACACUGCAUACUAUUUCUUUUUCACGUAUGAUGCGCCAGAGUACAGCUAUAUUUCUACUUAUUUAGUUGACAACUGUUAUCUGUACCAGAUUAGCUCUGCAAUGUCCAUUUUUAUGGUUGGCACUUGAAGAUGCAACAAAUUAAUGCCACUAUUUAGGGAGGUUUAUUUCAUGAAUAUUGAUUAGGGAAAUCAUCGAUCUGAUUAUUUAUCCCCAUCCAGUAACAACUCGAGCUUUGAAGUUAAUUAAAUGGAUGAAGCUGAGUGCAAGUGCUCUGGUGAUUUGGUUCAGAUUGGAACAAUGCACUCUAGCUGAACGUGAGUAUUUGUCAAAUUGUACUGUUUGUCCUCUCUAUUUUUCCUUUGCUACUGGACAGAUAAUUAUUAGGGACAGUAGCAGAUCAUAAUUGAUUGGUAUAAAUUGCAGGAGUAUUGCUCCUUUGCUGUGCAGCUUUUAGGGCAUUUCUUAGUAUUGCUCCUUCGCUGUGCAGCUUUUAGGGCAUUUCUUUCUCUGUUCCCUCCUCAGCAGAACUUUGCACUUUCAUUCCUGCCCAUUCUUUGAUACCAAUUAUGUGUAUAAUCUACAGAAGUUGAACAACUAGUUCACCCCAUGGACUGUGAACUGCUAGUGUUGGAUGCACACGUGGAGGAAAUUUCCAAAAAAGUUCACUGUUAGAAACAAUAUGGUUGAUAAAAUGACAAGGAACUUUGCUGUUGCAUGCAUAGUUCAGGGCAUAUCAUAUUCAUUCGUGAAGAUUAAUAUAUCAUGCUUAAUGUUUGCAGAUCGUUCUGAGAUGAGAUCCAAGGUACAUGUGUCUAACAGAAAGUUUUUUUUGAUAAUGAAGGCUCUACCCUGAAUCUGCUUUCUAACGCUGCUAACUGAACACAAGCAACUCUACAUGAUUAACACUGGUUAACUAUUACACAACUCUUCUCUACGCUGUAACAACAGCUGGACUUAUCUUGUUACAUGAAACAUUGUAAUCAUCGAAAGAUUGCCUCCUUCAAAGUUACAUCCUCUACAACCCAGAGUUAAGGUCAGGCUGCUCUAUUUUGAGGUACUUCCCACUACUACUACUAGUUGCAGGCUACCUUUUCUUUGCAGAUCUUGUCUUUACAAAGAGAUAUUUUUACCUACAUUUAUGUACAUUAUAUGCUUUACAGAGGCCUUUACAUAGAGCGCAGAUACUGUCACAACGACAUAGGCAGUGAUGCCUUUGGAAAUAUUCUCUGUCCUGGGGCUAGGAUUGCUAGGGGAUCGUACAUGUGUUUCCUCCGUUCAAAUGUCUCCCACCUCGCCCCAAAGUGGGCUUUCCACUGCUGCUGCGUAGUGUAGGGUGCUAGAUACUGCUUCAUCCCAACGUUGGCCUUCUCACAGAAGUCGACUAUUUUGUUAUUCAGGUUCACUGCAUGUUCGACGCUGCCGUGGCCUGAGAGCGACGGUGCCGAAGACAGGAACCCCACAAGGUAGAAGAUUUCUUCAUCUGGAUCUUGCCGAAGACCUCGCUCGCGAACUUGUGGAUUGUGCUUCUUGGGAUUAGAAGGUUCAGCCAUGGGUGUGGCACUUCCCAGAGGCCCUGAGCCCUGAGCUUCAGCUCGGAGGAGUGCACCCUGUCCAGGAACUCCAGGCUGGAGAGCAAUCCUGGCUCUGGUGAUGAUGCCGAACUGGCCCAGGCCACCGAGAGCGCCGUAGAAGAGGUCAGAGUUCUCCUCGGGCGAGCAGGUGACGACAUCUCCUCUUCCUGCAUUCCAUGUUCAUGACAAAGAUAUGAGCCACUGUAGUUGAUUAUUACUGGUCUAUUGCUAGUUAAUCAACGUGCUUGAUUUGCUUGGGGGUUUUGUGUAAGAUGAGACCUGUCACAAUCUCCAGCUGGUUGACAUUGCUGAUCUGCGGCCCAUGCCGGAACGCCUGGCCGCUGACCCCGGCAUUCGACAGCGUGCCGCCCACAGUGAGGUGGAGGUAAUCGGUCCACGACCUGGGCGCCAGCCCGUGCUUGAGCGUCUCAUGCAGCACGUUGAUCCAGAGCUCUCCUCCGGGGGCGUCCACGUAAGGUGUGGCGGCACCAUCGCCGUUGUGCACCUGCAUCCUAGCAUCACCGCUGAGGGACUCCAUCUUGACGACGAUCCCACCAGCGGU
This is a long non-coding RNA of Lolium rigidum, 2181 nucleotides long. RefSeq lists it as uncharacterized. NCBI's taxonomy places the organism in Eukaryota, Viridiplantae, Streptophyta, Magnoliopsida, Poales, Poaceae. The transcript is spliced from 3 exons. The record is from RefSeq and is a predicted model, not a curated record.